CCCUUAGAUGUUCGGGGCCGCACGCGCGCUACACUGAUGGGGUCAGCGUGUUUGCACGUCCUGGUCCGGCAGGAUUGGGCAAUCCGUUGAACCUCCGUCGUGAUUGGGAUCGGAGCUUGUAAUUAUUCUCCGUGAACGAGGAAUUCCCAGUAAGCGCGAGUCAUAAGCUCGCGUUGAUUACGUCCCUGCCCUUUGUACACACCGCCCGUCGCUACUACCGAUUGAACGGUUUAGUGAGGGCCUCGGAUUGGUCUCGGCCCGCUCUUUACCGGGCGGCGCCGUUGGUCGAGAAGACGCUCGAACUUGAUCGUUUAGAGGAAGUAAAAGUCGUAACA
This 335-nucleotide ribosomal RNA is filed under the name uncultured eukaryote. Its description in RNAcentral is "partial 18S ribosomal RNA". It matches the Rfam family "Eukaryotic small subunit ribosomal RNA", at positions 1470 to 1796 of the family's 1831-position model. The record is from RNAcentral.